Long non-coding RNA from Aethina tumida (small hive beetle), 419 nucleotides. RefSeq lists it as uncharacterized. The transcript has 2 exons. The record is from RefSeq and is a predicted model, not a curated record. Lineage: Eukaryota; Metazoa; Arthropoda; Insecta; Coleoptera; Nitidulidae.
UCCUGUAAUGUAAUGUACUACUGGGUGUAUAUAGUCUUUGCUGGGUAUUCUGUGGUGUACUAUUUAGAACAUAAUAGUGCAGUGUUUUGUUACUAGCCUUCAUCAAGAAGACACAAAAAAGAGAUAAUGGAAGAUAUGGUUGAUUUUUGUAAUUAUUGUUGGGAUACUAUAAACGAAAACAUUGACAAUAAGAUUUUGUUUUGUCAAGGAUGUCAACAAUGGUACCACGGAUGUUGUCUGAAUAUUUCCUAUAGGACGUAUAAUAAGAUUAAAAAUUUAAAUACUUGGAGAUGCCCACAAUGUAAAGAAAUACCUGAUGGGAAUAGCAACCAAAGAAAAGGAUAUGGAUGGUAUUGCCUUUUUACUUUAUUUGGUCUUGUAUUUUUAACUAGCCGAAAAUAUAUUUUUAACUGAAACAA